RNAcentral lists this non-coding RNA (36 nucleotides) under unclassified sequences. Its description in RNAcentral is "DUF805b RNA". It matches the Rfam family "DUF805b RNA". From Rfam's summary of the family: Bacteroidetes, Chlorobi (1 example), Proteobacteria. Lineage (Flavobacteria) The record is from RNAcentral.
AUGGCGGAAUCCGAAAAGCCAAAGAUAGAGUAGGAA